Molecule: long non-coding RNA, 2923 nt
Filed under: Nicotiana tabacum (common tobacco)
Lineage: Eukaryota; Viridiplantae; Streptophyta; Magnoliopsida; Solanales; Solanaceae
Description: long non-coding RNA (NTAB_LNC000435)
Source: RNAcentral
GAUUGAUUUCUGGGUCUUCUUUCUCCUAAUUGAUUGGAUAUUUCUUUGAAGUGUUGUUUUUGGUAGUUGAAGUUUUAGGAUCACCCACAUGUUUUCAAAGUUGCAUAUUUCUUGUUAGAUGCAACUGAUGAGCCACCUCUAGUUCUACAAGUUUCACACUUUCUUCAUCUUUAAUUUCCUCUUACCUAUCUCUUUCUCUAUCUUCUCCAUUGGAGUUUAUAGUAUUCUGGUGAGUAUUUUGUGUUUGGUAUUUUCCUUUGUUUGUCCUUUCUUAUUUCUUUAUCAAUCUUUUUUUGGUUUUCUAUUUUGUUCGUUUGUAUUGUUAAAUUAUCUUUCGGGUCUUCUGUGUACAUGCAGCUAUGGAUACACUCUCCAAAAUACACGUGCAUCCUGAUAAAAUCCAAAAGCCUAAGGACAGAAUGAAGAGAAUAUUUCUGGUGAGAAUGUAAACCGUUGGUUCAAAUCAGCUAAUCCAAACGGGCUCUUAGACUAUUGAUUUGGAAUCUUCAUUUACCUAUAAAGUUACAUUUGCAUUUGAUCUUUAUUUUUCUUUUUAAUGCAAUGUAUAAGUGGAUUUUUGGUCUACAACUACAAGUGUUUAAUUUUUCCUCCUUUUUAAAAAUUUUCUGGGUAGAUUCUACUAAGUUUCCCUCUCAAUAGAAAUGCUAAUUUAAAGGGAAGAACUUUGUUGCACUUAAGGUGUUCGACGAUAUGAUUAAAAAAACUGAGUAAUAUUCUACCAUUUCUUUUCCCAUAGGUGAAUUUAUCACAAGUAUCUAUCCUUUUGUAAGGCCAGAAAUUUUGAUUGCACAAAUAUAGGUCAUUUGAAAGAUGUUUCGGUAACUGUAGGUAUGGUAGUGAAAUAUUUAGCAUAUCCUUUACUGGGAUGUGUUGGAAAAUUCAUUUGUAUCUAAAAAGAUGAAGCCUUUUCAUGAAAGAAAAUGAAUAUGGAUAAUUCUCUAAUGGUGCCCUGCAUUUUGACUGUGCUGCAAUUAGUAAUAUUAAUUUGUCAGGAAUUCAUCAUUAGCAGAAAGCUCUCAUUUUAGUUGUUUAUCUGGAGUAUCUAUUUAUAUGAUAAGGUAUACACGAUUAAUUACAUUAAUUUUCUCUUCUUUUCAUUUGAUAUCUAGGUCAAUAUAAAUGUGUAUACACACAAACCUUCUUAUAUAUUUGUCACCCUAACGGUGUUUAAAUGCAGUACUUGUCAUAACUUUGAACUCCUUGUUUGCCUUUAUUUUAUUGUAUAAAUGAAAUAUGUUUUUUUGUACUGGUUUUUCUUCAUGAAAUGUGGCUUCUAAAACUAGGUUGUUUUAGUAUAUUAUAACGCAAGGUGGACUCAUUGACUCCCCAGUAGUUUAUGCAGCACCAAGGUAAUAUUAUGUUUUGGUGUCAUUCAGAUGCAUGGUCUGUUUGAUAGUGAACUGCGGACAGCUCAUAUUAAGAGGUAAGAGAAAGAAGUUUUUGCUUCCUUAAUAAACUAUAAGAGUUCUUCCGGUUACUUUAAUUUUGAUAUUAAUGGUCAUAAUAUUGUAUUUACUGCGAUUUCGAUAUCUAUAGUAUAUAAAAGGAGUGGAUGGUUCCUACUGGUUUCUGAAACAUUGGUGUAUAUUCAUGAGAAAAUGGCUGCAAGAAAACAUAAACGUAGCUUGAGAGAACUUUGUUAUAAAAAAAGCUUUUUGGAUGUUUGAGUAAUAAAGUGAUCUUUUCUUUUCCAUUUUCAAUGUAAUUGUUUCUUCUAGGAUAAUUAUGUAUUACAUAUACUUCUGAUAUUGAGUAUUUUAAGUUUUCAUAUUAAAGAGUUAUGUACAUAAAGAAUCUCCUUUAUUGUCGACAAGUUUGACUGACUGUUAGCUUUCCAAAAGCAAAGGUGAUUAGGUUGCAGGGUACAUGAAUGUAUUAGUCUAUGGUUAGAUAUUUAUCCUUUUUAAGGUUCUCAAAAAUGAAAGACUGCCGUAAAUCCUUUACAAAGUCCAGGUAAAUGCUUCAUCCCAGUGAAAAAGCACAUGAAGAAACUGAAGUCUCAAUUUGACUUGUCAGGCAGUUUGAAAUUAUCGAAAUAUUAUUUUCUGCAGGAAUGAACUAUUAAUAUUGUAGAUGAAUUUUUGUUAUGCUCGCAAACUUUUCAUGAUCAUGAUUGUGCCAUUUUUAAAACAUAGAGAAAAUGAAUACUGGUAAAGCUGAAACUGAAAAUUACCUGGGUAAUUCUGCUAUUACUUACACUUUGUGAUUUAGUUUUGACAUUCUUAUCAAUAAGAAUCUCUUUGUGCCUCAUUAGUCUCUGGCCUUGCCAUUAGUUGGAGCAAUCCUCUCCAUAACGUAUUAUAUUUGCAGUUGCAAGUAAUAAUAUGUUUGAACUGUAGCCUGCCAGGAUAUUAGACACUUCAAUUUAUCUAAGUUAUUCUUUACCGAAUGUAGGUAUAGCGUUUAUGUGCUAGCUUCUAUCUCCUAACUCCUCAUUGGAGGACCUUAAAUAGCCUUAAGAGGUGAGUAUAUAACAAAAGCAGACAGACAAUGGAGAAUUAUUUUGGGAUAAAAUCUCCAUGUAAUGUAGUUUCAUUCUGUUUUACUCAUAUCUUUCCCCGGUAAUAUUUGUCUUCUGUAGUAAUAUUCGCCUUGUGUAGUAAGUAAUUUGCUCUUUCUAAUAUGAUUCAAUUAAAAUGCUCACUUACAAAUAUUCCUUCUAAUAGCCAUAGGAUAUAUCUAUAUAGAUACUUACAACUCUAUGCAAAAGGCUGCUCUGUUGUUUCCAAAGUAGUAGUGCUUAACAUAUUUUUUCUAAAAAGCAAAUUUUUGACCAGUGAUCUCUGGUAUCGGUGGUUCAUGCUAUAGUAUUAAGAUGUUAUCGGAUGCAAGAUAUCAAGCUCCUUAUACAUGGUAAGUAAAAGGUAGAAAUGCCAUGGGUUUACUUUAUGCUUCUUUGGGU